CAAUGAUAUCGGUAGCGUGUUCUUAGGGGGACGUAUUUGCCAUUGCACUGUUGUCAAAAUUUGUCCAGUCGUACAUGUCGAAGCUGUCUGCUGAAUAAAUACAAUUUACAGAAUGACAGAUGGUCCAGAAACGCCGCCUAACUAUGAGGAGCAGUUUGCCCACCGGUUUUCUCUCGAGGACCCAGAGUACCAGCAGUACGUGAGUCGCCCCGCCAACCCCCCGCCACUGGUAGAGGACUGGUGCGGGCGUGGAGGUGGAAACAACCGGGGCAGAGACAACAGAUCCCAGGACCGCGGCGGGUACAGGGGCCGGGGUUGGGGAGGGGACAGGGAC
This is a long non-coding RNA of Salvelinus namaycush (lake trout), 334 nucleotides long. RefSeq lists it as uncharacterized. The transcript has 3 exons. The record is from RefSeq and is a predicted model, not a curated record. NCBI's taxonomy places the organism in Eukaryota, Metazoa, Chordata, Actinopteri, Salmoniformes, Salmonidae.